UUAAACCUACCAGGACAAAAGUCGGAAUCCUGUAACUAGGGUAGCAGUAUUGCGGGAAACCAAGAUGCUGAAGCCUACCGACAACAUUGUUGUAAGAAUAAUGAUGAAUUACCAGGCUGUAGCGAAAGCGAACACAUAGGUGACCUCGAAAGUAACGUGAACCCAAAGGCCGAACCAUCGGUGGAAUGGUGAAGGCAACAUAGACAGUUGAAACCCGAAUGAUACAACUGAUCUACUUUGGCGGGGCGGUAGUGAU
Molecule: non-coding RNA, 256 nt
Filed under: Wolbachia endosymbiont of Armadillidium vulgare
Lineage: Bacteria; Pseudomonadati; Pseudomonadota; Alphaproteobacteria; Rickettsiales; Anaplasmataceae
Source: RNAcentral